CAGUAGCCGCGGGAAUACGGAGGGUGCAAGCGUUAAUCGGAAUUACUGGGCGUAAAGCGUGCGUAGGCGGUUCGUUAAGUCUGUUGUGAAAGCCCCGGGCUCAACCUGGGAAUGGCAAUGGAUACUGGCGAGCUAGAGUGUGUCAGAGGAUGGUGGAAUUCCCGGUGUAGCGGUGAAAUGCGUAGAGAUCGGGAGGAACAUCAGUGGCGAAGGCGGCCAUCUGGGACAACACUGACGCUGAGGCACGAAAGCGUGGGGAGCAAACAGGAUUAGAUACCCCAGUAGUCCCUGUCUCUUAUAC
Molecule: ribosomal RNA, 301 nt
Filed under: uncultured bacterium
Lineage: Bacteria
Description: partial 16S ribosomal RNA
Rfam family: Bacterial small subunit ribosomal RNA
Source: RNAcentral